Molecule: ribosomal RNA, 492 nt
Filed under: uncultured bacterium
Lineage: Bacteria
Description: partial 16S ribosomal RNA
Rfam family: Bacterial small subunit ribosomal RNA
Source: RNAcentral
AGUGAACGCUGGCGGUAGGCCUAACACAUGCAAGUCGAACGGCAGCACAGUAAGAGCUUGCUCUUACGGGUGGCGAGUGGCGGACGGGUGAGGAAUACAUCGGAAUCUACUUUUUCGUGGGGGAUAACGUAGGGAAACUUACGCUAAUACCGCAUACGACCUACGGGUGAAAGCAGGGGAUCUUCGGACCUUGCGCGAUUGAAUGAGCCGAUGUCGGAUUAGCUAGUUGGCGGGGUAAAGGCCCACCAAGGCGACGAUCCGUAGCUGGUCUGAGAGGAUGAUCAGCCACACUGGAACUGAGACACGGUCCAGACUCCUACGGGAGGCAGCAGUGGGGAAUAUUGGACAAUGGGCGCAAGCCUGAUCCAGCCAUACCGCGUGGGCGAAGAAGGCCUUCGGGUUGUAAAGCCCUUUUGUUGGGAAAGAAAAGCAGCAGGUUAAUACCCCGCUGUUCUGGCGGUACCCAAAGAAUAAGCACCGGCUAACUUCGUG